Molecule: RNA transcript, 5303 nt
Organism: Osmerus eperlanus (European smelt)
Lineage: Eukaryota; Metazoa; Chordata; Actinopteri; Osmeriformes; Osmeridae
Gene name: sine oculis-binding protein homolog
Exons: 9
Source: RefSeq, a predicted model, not a curated record
UUCAACGGCUGCACCAGCCCACAGUGUACGAAUGUUCAGUGGACUCAAUGGAUGAAGCCCUGGAUGACGGACGCAAACGUCUGGGAAUGACAGCCGCUGUCACCAAGAGUGACAGCUUUCGCUCUCUGUCCCUCGACUAGCCCCAAAGUGACGCGUCCCUCGUUCUCCAUACAGUGACACGGAUCCAGUCAGAAUUAUGCCAGAGAUGGAGAAAGUGAGACCACCGGAAAAUAAACGCAGUAGGAAACCCGCACACCCCGUCAAGAGGGAGAUUAACCAAGAGAUGAAGACUUUCGCAGAGAGCACAAUGAACGAGCUUCUGGGCUGGUAUGGCUACGAUAAAGUCGAGCUCAGAGACUCCGAAGCCUCAGAGAUCCGCAGCUACCCCAACCGAGACAGACGGCAGCAUGUGUCGGUUCUAAAAGAAAACUCAGUGCCAAAACUGAAGAGUUUUAACAAUAAGACCAGUCCAUCGGCUCUGGCCAUGAGGAGCGGAGAGAGAGAGUCUCCCAGCGUCCCCUCCUCCUCCUCCCCCAGCUCCUCCAUGACCAGCCCCAAGGAGCACAAGAGUGCCCCUGUCAUCGUUCCACUCAUAAAACCCUCCGCAGUGGAUGAUGUGCAGAAUGUGCAGAUAGUGUGCGUGUGGUGUCAGAAAGAAGGUGUGAAACGCUACUCUCUGUGCAUGGGCUCGGAGCUGAAGAGUUUCUGCAGCGAGAAGUGCUUUGCAGCCUGCCGACGAGCCUACUUCAAACGCAACAAGGCCCGAGAUGAGGACCUGCAUGGGGAGAGGUCCCCACAACACCCCCCCCACCCCGAGGAUUCUCCAAGGCUGGUUCUGAAAAACAGCAGUGCCAGAUCUCUCUCUCCUGUACCUCAGGUGUGUGACUGGUGCAAGCAUGUCCGCCACACCAAGGAGUACCUGGACUUUGGUGCAGGACAGGAGAGACUCCAGUUCUGCAGCACCAAGUGUCUGAACCAGUACAAGAUGGACGUGUUUUACAGGGAGGCCCGAGCUGCUCUCACCAGCUCCAGCCCAGCCAGACCCCCCACAGAGGGGAAGCCCGAGGGAGGAGCCCAGCAACUCCUCACUCCUGAAUCCUGGAACAGUGGGGGAGGGGACACCCGCCAGAGGACCCUGUCCCCGAAAGGACCCACGCCCAUCCACGGGACGGCAGCGUCCGCAUCCAUGUCCCCCUCAGAGGCCUCCUCCUCCAAGGUCCCCCUCCCGGGACCCCGGCCCCCGGAGAGACCCCCACAGCCCCCGCCUCCACCCCCGGCCCCGGAGAUGAUGAGCCAGCCCGUGCACCCUCCUCGCCCCCACAUGGAGCACCACCCGGCUCAGCCUCUUCCCCAAAUACCCCUGUCCUUUAUCAGGCCCCCGCUUCAUGCACAGGGCCUCAAAAGCCCCAUCUCCAACCCCCCCAGACACUCAGGACCACCAUCCAGCCCCAUCCACCGUCCCCCACAUUCCCCCCACCUGCAGCCCCCCAUAGCCUCCUCCAUGAACCCCCCAAGUCUAGUGCACCCCUACCCUGGAGCAUACUUCCCUGGCCUGCAUUCGCCACCCAUCAACAUAAUACCCCAUGGCCAUGUACCCAUGCACCCCAUGAUGAACUUCAGCAUCCCCACCUUUGGCCCCCUCCUCCCCCAGCCCACUGUGCUGGUGCCCUACCCCAUCAUCGUCCCCCUCCCAGUCCCUAUCCCCAUCCCCAUCCCCAUCCCCAUCCCAGUUAGGUCCAAGGCCGGCCCGGAGGCCCCAGGCCACAACGGGGUCAUCCAGCCUGUACCGGAGGGGGCGGAGAGAGCCAGCUCCAUGGGUGUCCGGCAGCCCUAUCUGGGGAUACCUUCAGGAGAGAACAGACAGGUUUUCAACAGGGUGGGCCGAACCAACAACCAGAGGCUCCCUUCGCCUUCAGGCCUGCCCUGGUGGGACACAGACUGGGUAAAGUCUGAAAGGCAGCACCCUGCCUCUACAUGCACACCCCAUAGCAGAGAGUCUUCCCCUAGCACACGUUAUAACAUCUCCCCCUGCUCAGGCCCGGGGCCUGAAGGGAUGACAGACCUUCAGCCGGUUCAUCAGUCCCUGCAGCAGCCAGAGAGACAGGUUAUCCAGAGGGUGCUCCAGAGGACCCAGGUGAAGCAGGAGCCCAAUAUCCAGGGAGUGGUGGACUUAUCUGGACCAGGGGAGCCAAAAACUAGAAAGAGCACCAGGGCUGGGCUCUAUGACAGCACCAGAUCCCCCCAGUUCCCUUCACAUGACACACCCAACCAUCCAAACACGAAUAGCCCCCCUGGCCCCCACGGGGAGGGCUCUCCCUGUGAUGGAGACUCCCCCACCCCGUGUACCCUAAGCAGGCCUGACCCGGAGAUCUCACCCCCGGACCCUCCCAGCCUGGACACUCAUCCCCAGAGGGCAGUUUUGCCCACGGACCCUACCCUCAAUGAGCUAGAAGCAGUCAAAGAAAACAGCUUCUCUGGGACUGUGAGCCAGGUGCGGGCUGAAAGCACUGCUGGCUAUUCAGAGGAGAUUGUGGCCUGCAGAGAGGGAGAUGAUCCACAUGUCCCUGAUGAGGACCAUGCUUAUGCCUUGCCUACUGCACCCAGGACAGGGGACACCCCCACCACAUUGCUCCUUCCCAAGCUCAGGGAUAAGGGGGCCCUGAGGAACCUGGCUAGCGUGGCCAGCAUGGGGCCUGGGGACCUGGAGCCUGCCCUGAAGAGACGCUGCCUUCGCAUCCGAGAUCAGAACAAGUAGAGGAUGGAAAGCGAGAAGAGGGCUCCCACAAUACACUCGUGGCCACAAAACAGAAAGGCGCCAAAGACAGAGAAUCCAAGUAACUUGGCACUCCACUCAGCUCUAGGGUUACUACAGAGGAAGCGAGAGGAAAGGAAGAGAGGAGGAGAGCACAGACGGUGGGAGUCACUUUGAAAGGAGAUCACUACAACAAGGUCUGACUGUGACAGUGCUUUGUUUGGACGACGGCAGCCUGGUUCAUCCUCUGUCAGGGCAUGAAGGUUGAUUGAGCCCACUGUGCAAUGCUGGGUACAUGAAGUCCAAAGAAGGCAUACUAUUUCAAAGACUCAUUGUUUUACACUGUACAGUGGUGCCAGAUUCAGCUCCACUCCAUCUAGUGGCCAUCACCAGCACUAACCCAUUAGACAGCCUCCAGAGGGAUCUUGCUCUACCAUCCCUUUGACGACAAGGGUGCCAAUCCAGGAAGCACUUCCACCAGUCAGAUCAUCAAGAAACAACGACGUCUAGCACAAGUCAGAUGGAACCCAGACAAGCAUUUAUUCUAGGACCAAAACAUUAGUUGUCCUCUAUGUUCAUCACUGAUUGUGUAUGUCUCAGUAUCUCUGCCUUCCAGUCACUCUGAAUGUGUGUGCUUCUGUGAAUGCAUGUGAGAGAGAAAGAGAGAAAGCCAGUGUGUUGUGUGUGCAUAUGUGUGACUUUAUGUGGUUGUGUGUGUGUGUCUGCAUCUUUUUGUUUGUGUUUGGGUGACAAGACUUCCCAGAUGCGCUCCUCUGUCAAGCAGUAGCAACAGACAAGACUCUGAUCAACCUUGUGUGGUCUUCUCAGAUGGAGACUGAACAUGAUCUCUUUCCAGGGGAAACGGUUUGUUUUCUCUGCCUGGCUCACACAAAGAGCUACAUUGUUCCUCUCCACAUAUACAACGUUGACUCCCCACUCCAGGUUUUUGGUUGCCUGGCCAAUGGGGGUUCAGGCUUCAGGAGCUCUUUUUUAAGUUUUCUUUUGCAGAGGCCAGGAAUAUAUGUACUCCCUUGCCCCUGCUCCCCUCACAUAGACACACACUUUCUCCCCUCAUCUUUCUCCCAAUUCCUUCUCACCUUAUGCCCAUGCAAUGUCCAACUCCUUGUCCCUGCCCCCGUCCCCUCCCACACCCUUACCCUUUCAUGGUGAAGACAACAUCCAGGAUGCUCGGAUGUGGGGAGGAUUCACUUGGGGUAAACAGAGGUAAAAUUUAGUUGUGAAAAACGAUCAGUAAAAGAGAGACAGUGAGAAAGAGGAGGAGAAAGGGAGUGCAAGAGAGAUCCCUGUAACUCCCCAAACAUUCAUGCCAAAAGUGGGUGAACCUGUGACAGCAGGGAUGAGAGGUUGUAGUGAUUUCUGUGACACUGGCAGUCUGCCUUUGAACAAGAGGGAGCUCACCUUUCUUGCACCAAACCUUUCAUAGAGAAUAUGUAGCCAGUCCCCCACCAGAGUAUUUUCAACAACAGGGUAGUAAUUUUACCAUUCAUGGUAUUACUAUUAUUUUGAACCAUCAAAGGCCAUCAGUAUUACAGAUACCCUUAGCAUGGGGAUGUAUGACAAGAUUCCUUCUAGAGGCAUUUGCCAAGACAUGUUACAAAGCGCAAGAUUUAACUUCUGUUUUCUUACACAAAGAUACUACUUUGACAAUAUUAACUUAUGGACGAUGCCUCUGUAAGAUCUUUUACAAAGUGGUUGUUGUUUUAGGAUUAUAUUUCAUGAGUGCCGAAACUCAAAUUCCAGUCAAAUCAGUGUCGAAAUGUUUGCUUGUAUUACCAUGUACACCAGAGGGCAGUGUUUGCUUUAGUUUGGAGCACAGCACUUUGCCUGAAUGGAAAACUGUCUGAAAAACCAUGCAUACACGCCAAUGUAGACAUGUAUGCAUAUGCAAAAACGUUGCAUUCAGUGCCAACAUUUUUUUUUUUGACAGUUAGGUGAUAACGUUUUCUACACCUUGAUCCAACACCAAAAAUAUCAUCUGUUGCCAUUGUCUCGACAAAAUAAAACAUUGCUCCAACAUUACCGGAAAAUGCAUGUUCAUGUGUAUUCGGGGCUUCUCUUUGCCGAAAAGAGACCAUAUUGUUAUCCUCGGUGCUCAAGUCAUGAUCUAGAAUAUAUCCACUCACCUCAUAAAAAACGCAUUCCAAAAGCUCAGGCAAAAUGCAUGAAAUGCGACGGCGAAUUCAACACACUUCAUUAUAGCCCAGCUCAUUCCAGACAACAGUAUGGGGGAGUGACUGUUGUGACUUCCUCCAUACACGUAGGCUAGUGUGAGAAGGUGCGACGUUAACUUUGCCUCAUGUGGCCGAAAACUACACAAACUGCCAUUAUCAUGUUGCACAUCUCUAAUCGCCAUCGCCAUUAGCCUGCGUAUCCACUUUGUCCAACGUUACCAGUACCAUCUCUAAAGACUUGUUGAACAUUUAUCGUAGGCUAUUGUAUGAUCAUUUACAGAUUGUUUGUAUUUGAAUAAUAAUUCAAUAAUAAUUAAACUGGGAACCGUUUGUAAAGUAAAUAAAGGUUAUGAGCAACA